UACGGUGAUCAUGGCGAGAGGGAAACGCCCAGCUCCAUUCCGAACCUGGAAGCUAAGCCUCUCAGCGCCGAUGGUACUUCUCGGGAGACCGGGUGGGAGAGUAGGACGUUGCCGGAC
Molecule: ribosomal RNA, 117 nt
Filed under: Actinomycetes bacterium
Lineage: Bacteria; Bacillati; Actinomycetota; Actinomycetes
Also listed under: 2 other names
Source: RNAcentral